RNAcentral lists this ribosomal RNA (550 nucleotides) under uncultured bacterium. RNAcentral describes it as "bacterial SSU rRNA". It matches the Rfam family "Bacterial small subunit ribosomal RNA", at positions 355 to 896 of the family's 1533-position model. The record is from RNAcentral.
UAGGGAAUCUUCGGCAAUGGACGGAAGUCUGACCGAGCAACGCCGCGUGAGUGAAGAAGGUUUUCGGAUCGUAAAGCUCUGUUGUAAGAGAAGAACGAGUGUGAGAGUGGAAAGUUCACACUGUGACGGUAUCUUACCAGAAAGGGACGGCUAACUACGUGCCAGCAGCCGCGGUAAUACGUAGGUCCCGAGCGUUGUCCGGAUUUAUUGGGCGUAAAGCGAGCGCAGGCGGUUAGAUAAGUCUGAAGUUAAAGGCUGUGGCUUAACCAUAGUAGGCUUUGGAAACUGUUUAACUUGAGUGCAAGAGGGGAGAGUGGAAUUCCAUGUGUAGCGGUGAAAUGCGUAGAUAUAUGGAGGAACACCGGUGGCGAAAGCGGCUCUCUGGCUUGUAACUGACGCUGAGGCUCGAAAGCGUGGGGAGCAAACAGGAUUAGAUACCCUGGUAGUCCACGCUGUAAACGAUGAGUGCUAGGUGUUAGACCCUUUCCGGGGUUUAGUGCCGUAGCUAACGUAUUAAGCACUCCGCCUGGGGAGUACGACCGCAAGGUUG